Molecule: ribosomal RNA, 253 nt
Filed under: uncultured bacterium
Lineage: Bacteria
Description: partial 16S ribosomal RNA
Rfam family: Bacterial small subunit ribosomal RNA
Source: RNAcentral
UACGUAGGGACCGAGCGUUGUCCGGAUUCAUUGGGCGUAAAGAGCUCGUAGGCGGCUGCUCAAGUCGAAUGUGAAAACUCGAGGCUCAACCUCGAGCCUGCAUUCGAUACUGGGCGGCUAGAGUCUGGUAGGGGGAUCUGGAAUUCCUGGUGUAGCGGUGGAAUGCGCAGAUAUCAGGAGGAACACCGGUGGCGAAGGCGGAUCUCUGGGCCUUACCUGACGCUGAGGAGCGAAAGCAUGGGGAGCAAACAGG